AUUGAACGCUGGCGGCAGGCCUAACACAUGCAAGUCGAGCGGAUGAAGGGAGCUUGCUCCUGGAUUCAGCGGCGGACGGGUGAGUAAUGCCUAGGAAUCUGCCUGGUAGUGGGGGAUAACGUCCGGAAACGGGCGCUAAUACCGCAUACGUCCUGAGGGAGAAAGUGGGGGAUCUUCGGACCUCACGCCAUCAGAUGAGCCUAGGUCGGAUUAGCUAGUUGGUGGGGUAAAGGCCUACCAAGGCGACGAUCCGUAACUGGUCUGAGAGGAUGAUCAGUCACACUGGAACUGAGACACGGUCCAGACUCCUACGGGAGGCAGCAGUGGGGAAUAUUGGACAAUGGGCGAAAGCCUGAUCCAGCCAUGCCGCGUGUGUGAAGAAGGUCUUCGGAUUGUAAAGCACUUUAAGUUGGGAGGAAGGGCAGUAAGUUAAUACCUUGCUGUUUUGACGGUACCAACAGAAUAAGCACCGGCUAACUUCGUG
Molecule: ribosomal RNA, 484 nt
Filed under: uncultured bacterium
Lineage: Bacteria
Description: partial 16S ribosomal RNA
Rfam family: Bacterial small subunit ribosomal RNA
Source: RNAcentral